Molecule: ribosomal RNA, 376 nt
Filed under: uncultured bacterium
Lineage: Bacteria
Description: bacterial SSU rRNA
Rfam family: Bacterial small subunit ribosomal RNA
Source: RNAcentral
UAAUACAGAGGGUGCAAGCGUUAAUCGGAAUUACUGGGCGUAAAGCGUGCGUAGUCGGUUAUUUAAGUCGGAUGUGAAAUCCCCGGGCUCAACCUGGGAAUUGCAUUCGAUACUGGAUAGCUAGAGUUCGGCAGAGGGAAGUGGAAUUUCUGGUGUAGCGGUGAAAUGCGUAGAUAUCAGAAGGAACAUCAGUGGCGAAAGCGACUUCCUGGACCAGAACUGACGAUCAGGCACGAAAGCGUGGGGAGCAAACAGGAUUAGAUACCCUGGUAGUCCACGCCAUAAACGAUGACAACUAGACGUUGGGGACAUAUGGUCCACAGUGUCGCAGCUAACGCGUUAAGUUGUCCGCCUGGGGAGUACGGCCGCAAGGUUG